CUGGGCGCGGGGCCAGGGAGAGAGAGCUGCUUGGCUGAUUCUGUUUUCUUGUCCCGAGAUGCCUGGGCGGGGAAGGCUCCUAGAUCUAGCCAGCCCAGCUCACCCUCGGCGCCUGGCACCACCAGAGGCCCUGGACAGGCUAUGAAGGGCAUGUUCUUGGUGGGCACGCCAAGGUUUCCCCAAAGGGGCCACUUUUAGUCCUCCCACCCUGUGCUAACCUCUUCCAGCAAUAGCACUCAUCCCAGCUUUGCUUUGGUAUCUUUAUCUCCUCACAUAAAUCGGGUAGGCACAAAGUAGGCACUGGAUAAACGCUUACUGAUUGGUUGACUGAGGGAGAGGGGAGGUAGAAAUGCUUGUCUUUUAGGGAAACCGAGCUACCUCCUUUUCCCAGCUUCAGGCCUGUAACCUGGGAGCAAUUUUUGACAAUAACCCUCCCGCUCUGCUCUCCAACUUCUGAAUCUGAUCUCUCCCAGCAGGGACUCAGAUCGACCUCUGGUUGUCUCGGUCUCCACCGCCCCCACCCUAAUCCAGGCCUCAUCACCUUCAGUCCCAGGACUAUUGCAACAGGCCAGGUGCUCUUCACCACUUACUGUCCGUCCCCCUCCACCAACGCACAGGCUUCGGGGAGUCAUGAUCGGUAAACUGUCCAAGCCCAAGAUUUCAAUCUGGAAGCAUUCUUGGAUCCCUCAUUGGUUGGAGUAUGACUAUUAUCAAUAUUGUUGGGACCUUAUAGCUAUUGCCAACUGCGCAUCCUCUGGGCGUGGCACGCAGGACUAGCCUUGAGAGGCAGCUAAGCGCAUGGGCCCGGCCAAGGUAACCUCCAGGUCCCCAGGAACCCCGGUGCGACCUCCUCC
This is a long non-coding RNA of Vombatus ursinus (common wombat), 854 nucleotides long. The record is from Ensembl. NCBI's taxonomy places the organism in Eukaryota, Metazoa, Chordata, Mammalia, Diprotodontia, Vombatidae.